CCUACGGGAGGCAGCAGUGGGGAAUUUUGGACAAUGGGCGCAAGCCUGAUCCAGCAAUGCCGCGUGAGUGAAGAAGGCCUUCGGGUUGUAAAGCUCUUUUGUCAGGGAAGAAAAGGGAUUGGCUAAUAUCUGGUCCUCAUGACGGUACCUGAAGAAUAAGCACCGGCUAACUACGUGCCAGCAGCCGCGGUAAUACGUAGGGUGCAAGCGUUAAUCGGAAUUACUGGGCGUAAAGCGUGCGCAGGCGGUUUUGUAAGACUGUCGUGAAAUCCCCGGGCUUAACCUGGGAAUGGCGAUGGUGACUGCAAGGCUAGAGUUUGGCAGAGGGGGGUAGAAUUCCACGUGUAGCAGUGAAAUGCGUAGAUAUGUGGAGGAACACCGAUGGCGAAGGCAGCCCCCUGGGUCAAAACUGACGCUCAUGCACGAAAGCGUGGGGAGCAAACAGGAUUAGAUACCCUGGUAGUCCACGCCCUAAACGAUGUCUACUAGUUGUCGGGUCUUAAUUGACUUGGUAACGCAGCUAACGCGUGAAGUAGACCGCCUGGGGAGUACGGUCGCAAGAUUAAAACUCAAAGGAAUUGACGG
RNAcentral lists this ribosomal RNA (585 nucleotides) under uncultured bacterium. RNAcentral describes it as "bacterial SSU rRNA". It matches the Rfam family "Bacterial small subunit ribosomal RNA", at positions 338 to 916 of the family's 1533-position model. The record is from RNAcentral.